UACAGAGGCGGCGAGCGUUGUUCGGAUUUACUGGGCGUAAAGGGCGCGUAGGCGGCCCCGUGUGUCGCGUGUGAAAGCCCCGGGCUCAACCCGGGAAGUGCGCGCGAAACUGCGGGGCUCGAGCGGAGGAGGGGAGAGCGGAAUUCAUGGUGUAGCGGUGAAAUGCGUUGGUAUCAUCAGGAACACCGGUGGCGAAAGCGGCUUACUGGGUCUCUUCUGACGCUGAGGCACGAAAGCUAGGGUAGCGAACGGGAUUAGAUACCCUGGUAGUCCCUGA
RNAcentral lists this ribosomal RNA (277 nucleotides) under uncultured prokaryote. Its description in RNAcentral is "partial 16S ribosomal RNA". It matches the Rfam family "Bacterial small subunit ribosomal RNA", at positions 524 to 800 of the family's 1533-position model. The record is from RNAcentral.